This 1856-nucleotide long non-coding RNA is filed under the name Salmo salar (Atlantic salmon). RNAcentral describes it as "lncRNA (ENSSSAG00000087679.1)". The record is from RNAcentral. Lineage: Eukaryota; Metazoa; Chordata; Actinopteri; Salmoniformes; Salmonidae.
CAGCAGUAACAGCAGCAGCAGCAGCAGUAGCAGCAGCAGCAGCAGUAGCAACAGCAGCAGCAGCAGUAGCAGCAGCAGCAGCAGUAGUAACAGCAGCAGCAGCAGCAGUAACAGCAGCAGCAGCAGCAGUAACAGCAGCAGCAGCAGUAGUAACAACAGCAGCAGCAGUAGCAACAGCAGCAGCAGCAGUAGUAACAGCAGCAGCAGCAGUAAUAGUAACAGCAGCAGCAGCAGUAGUAACAGCAGCAGCAGUAGCAACAACAGCAGCAGUAGUAGUAACAACAGCAGCAGCAGCAGUAGUAACAACAGCAACAGCAGUAGUAGUAACAACAACAACAGCAGUAGUAGUAACAACAACAACAGCAGUAGUAGUAACAACAACAGCAGCAGUAGUAGUAACAACAACAGCAGCAGCAGUAGUAACAACAGCAGUAGUUGCAGCAGUAGUAACAACAGCAGUAGUUGCAGCAGUAGUAACAACAGCAGUAGUUGCAGCAGUAGUAACAACAGCAGUAGUUGCAGCAGUAGUAACAACAGCAGUAGUUGCAGCAGUAGUAACAACAGCAGUAGUUGCAGCAGUAGUUGCAGCAGUAGUAACAACAGCAGUAGUUGCAGCAGUAGUAACAACAGCAGUAGUAGCAGCAGUAGUAACAACAGCAGUAGUUGCAGCAGUAGUAACAACAGCAGUAGUUGCAGCAGCAGCAACAGCAGUAGUUGCAGCAACAGCAGCAGCAGCAGUAGUAGCAGCAACAGCAGUAGUAGCAGCAACAGCAGUAGUAGCAGCAACAGCAGCAACAGCAGUAGUAGCAGCAACAGCAGUAGUAGCAGCAACAGCAGUAGUAGCAGCAGCAGCAGCAGUAGUAACAGCAGCAGUAGUAGCAGCAACAGCAGCAGUAGCAGCAACAGCAGUAGUAGUAGCAGCAACAGCAGCAGUAGUAGCAGCAGCAGCAGCAGCAGCAGCAGAGCAGCAGCAGCAGCAGCAGUAGUAGAAGCAGCAGCAGCAGUAACAACAGCAGCAGCAGUAACAACAGCAGCAGCAGCAGUAACAACAGCAACAGCAGCAGCAGUAACAGCAGCAGCAGUAGCAGCAGCAGCAGCAGCAGUAACAACAGCAGCAGCAGCAGUAACAACAGCAGCAGCAGCAGUAACAACAGCAGCAGCAGUAGCAACAGCAGCAGCAGCAGUAACAACAGCAGCAGCAGCAGUAACAACAGCAGCAGCAGUAACAACAGCAGCAGCAGCAGUAACAACAGCAGCAGCAGCAGUAACAGCAGCAGCAGCAGCAGUAACAACAGCAGCAGCAGUAACAGCAGCAGCAGCAGCAGUAGUAGUAACAACAACAGCAGCAGUAGUAGUAACAACAACAGCAGCAGCAGUAGCAACAGCAGCAGCAGCAGCAGUAACAACAACAGUAACAGCAGCAGCAGCAACAACAGCAGUAGCAGCAGCAGCAACAGCAGUAACAGCAGCAGCAACAGCAGCAGCAGUAACAGCAGCAGCAGCAGUAGCAGCAGCAGCAGUAGCAACAGCAGCAGCAGCAGCAGCAGCAGCAGCAACAGCAGCAGCAGCAGCAGUAGUAACAACAGCAGCAGCAGUAGUAACAGCAGCAGCAGCAGUAGUAACAACAGCAGCAGCAGCAGCAGUAGUAACAACAGCAGCAGCAGCAGCAGUAGUAACAACAGCAGCAGCAGCAGCAGUAACAGCAGCAGCAGCAGUAGCAACAACAGCAGCAGCAGUAGUAACAGCAGCAGCAGCAGUAGUAACAGCAGCAGCAGCAACAGCAGCAGUAGUAGCAGCAGCAGCAGUAACAACAACAGCAGCAGCAGCAGUAGCAACAACAGCAGCAGCAGCAGCAG